UCACUCCCCAUGCUGAAAUUCUUUUAUGAAGAAGGAAUCAGAAAAAAAGGCAUACAAAUAGGAGAAAGUUAGAAGCUUGAGAAGUAUGACAGAGAUGGGAACUGCUUUACAACAAGUCCAAAUGCUAGACUUAAAGCAGAUUGUCCUAUUAUCCAUCUUUGAGAGGCAAAUCACAACCUUGCAAAAUGAGACUGCUACUCCAAG
Long non-coding RNA from Eptesicus fuscus (big brown bat), 204 nucleotides. RefSeq lists it as uncharacterized. The record is from RefSeq and is a predicted model, not a curated record. Lineage: Eukaryota; Metazoa; Chordata; Mammalia; Chiroptera; Vespertilionidae. The transcript is spliced from 3 exons.